RNAcentral lists this transfer RNA (67 nucleotides) under Folsomia candida. Its description in RNAcentral is "tRNA-Ser". The record is from RNAcentral. Lineage: Eukaryota; Metazoa; Arthropoda; Collembola; Entomobryomorpha; Isotomidae.
AAGAAAAGGGAGCCAAAUUUAAGCCGCUAACUUAAAAUUUUAACGGUUAAACUCCGUUAUUUUCUUU